UCUGACACAGGUGCUGCAUGGCUGUCGUCAGCUCGUGUCGUGAGAUGUUGGGUUAAGUCCGUAACGAGCGCAACCCUUGUCCUUAGUUACCAGCACGUUAUGGUGGGCGACUCUAAGGAGGACUGCCGGGUGACAAACCGGAGGAAGGUGGGGGAUGACGUCAAGUCAUCAUGGCCCUUACGGCCUGGGCUACACACGUGCUACAAUGGUCGGUACAAAGGGUUGCCAAGCCGCGAGGUGGAGCUAAUCCCAUAAAACCGAUCGUAGUCCGGAUCGCAGUCUGCAACUCGACUGCGUGAAGUCGGAAUCGCUAGUAAUCGUGAAUCAGAAUGUCACGGUGAAUACGUUCCCGGGCCUU
RNAcentral lists this ribosomal RNA (358 nucleotides) under uncultured Pseudomonas sp. RNAcentral's name for it is "bacterial SSU rRNA". It matches the Rfam family "Bacterial small subunit ribosomal RNA", at positions 1028 to 1382 of the family's 1533-position model. The record is from RNAcentral. Lineage: Bacteria; Pseudomonadati; Pseudomonadota; Gammaproteobacteria; Pseudomonadales; Pseudomonadaceae.